This 2019-nucleotide long non-coding RNA is filed under the name Mus musculus (house mouse). Its description in RNAcentral is "long non-coding RNA chr15:59510820-59512839". Lineage: Eukaryota; Metazoa; Chordata; Mammalia; Rodentia; Muridae. The record is from RNAcentral.
GGAGACUGACCAGGUACUUACAGACACUGACUUAGUACUUACGUAUUUUUGUCCAGAGCCUGUCACCCAACAUUGAUAGUCACUCUUGUGUGGCUACAGUAUAUAGCAAGCUCAUGCCAGCAAGCCCCAUCUUUGUUCAUCUGGGACAAGAAAUGAGAGGGUGGCCAAUUCAGGUUAGAAAUACUAAAGCUCUGGUUGGUGUUCUCUCAAGGAACUACAGUCGCAUACUCAAGUCUGGUCCAGAGUCAGUAUCAUAAAGACUGUGCUGUUUAUCAACGCAUCUGGGUAGACCUUUCUUGCUGUUUUCUGUUUCUGUGUACAACUGUUACUAUGCUCGGGGCUUUGGGGUGGUACUAGGGAUUGAACCCAGGACCUGGCAGGUGCUGGGCAAGCACUUUACUACUUAGUACAUUCCAGCCUGACUAGCCCUUCAGUGUCGGCAGCUAGAUGCGCUCCCUGCAGAUUAGCAGAUUUAGUAGUAACCCUGGCAUUAGUAUCUUGAAUCCUAGAAAUUUAAAUAAUGUAUUUACACUUAGGGAUUAUUUUUUGUUUUUGUUUUCCUUGUCUGAGCCAUUAAAUGUUUUCAACAGAACUAAUAUUUAAUCCUUAAGAUUUCAUAACCGAGAAGUUUAAAGGUUAACUGUAACAGGAGAAAACAUCUAGUGAAGUUUUAAAGGUAACCAGAUAAGGAAGUACAGAAAGAGUGUAGAAACAUUGACAAGCUCACAAAGCCAAUUUUGUCCAGUUUUCUGAAAACUCCAGUCUGUACGGCUCAAGCACGUGAGUCAUGCCUUCCCUUUUUCUUGUCAGUCACUCAUUCACCCGCUUGUAUUACCCAUGAUUCAUUGUUCCCUCUGCCAAGUAUUGCUCUAGGUACUAGGUAACAACAGUAAAUAAGACAGUCAGAGCGUACUGUGUGCCAGUUCUGUGCCAGGCACUUGGGAACUUGGAACUAGCUGCUUUCGGCUCCACAAUCUGACGUAACGAGGGAAGUCAGUUUUCCCCAGACCUCACCGACUAGCUAUGUGGCUUGAGGGGGGACAGGGUCAGUUCCCUCCUCUCUGAAAUGCUCUUGCUCACUGUUCACUUAGAAGCCUUGAUGUAAGUAUCAGAUGAGAUAGUCAUUUUGAAAGAGCUUUGGAAAGCAUUGGGCCUUGCUUGUAUAGAGACCACCAGUAAUCUUGUAACUGACCAGAGUUCGGGUCAUUUCAUUGCCUCUGUGAAAAGCGUAAAGGGCGUGUGCCCAUUGUACAUUGAAAUGUAUAACUGCCACUUCCUGCCCAUGGGGUGGGGAUUUCAGAAUGAGUUAUGAGGAAUAAUAGCUGCAGCCAGGAAGACUCACACAGGAAACAUAAUGCAGUUCAUACAUGGUAUGUGUUAGGUAUAAAGUGCUCAGAUGCAGGGGCAGAGAAAAGAUAAGACGGGAGUUGGCCUCUGACCUCAAGAAACAUAGACAUGUAUAUGAAAAUUCAGAGUGCCCAAAUAUAAACCCUGAGCUUAAUUAUAGUUUCCCAGGGAUUACAGCUAUUCAUUUGCCCCCUAAACGUUUCUAAAAGUGUUCUGAUAGCCAUCAGGGUGCCUGCUGGGAUGUGGUGAUAAGAUGUUGCUUCCAGUUUCAUAUUUUAUUAUCUCUCAUGUCCACUGUACUAAUAUUUUAGACUGAGGUAAGAAAUGUGGUCUGUAUAGAGAGAGAUUUCAUUCAGAAGGUUGAUUCCCAGGACCCUCAUCAAAGAGCCAGCAGACUCACGCAGAGUUUGGUUUGUAAGUGUUCCUCCCUAACAUUAAAUCCCAUCAUGUAGAGACUCGAGAAUCUCCGUCACAGCUGAGAGUGAUGUCACAGCAUAAUCCUAGCACUCAGGAGUCCAAAGCAGGAAGAUCAAAGAAAACCUCAACCUGACCAGCAUGGUGGUCCAUACCUUUAACCCCAGCAUCAGGGAGGCAGAGGCAGGCAGAUCUCUAUAUGAGUUCCAGGACAGCAAGGACUACACAGAGAGACCCUGACUCAAAGGAGAAAAAUGC